RNAcentral lists this ribosomal RNA (445 nucleotides) under uncultured bacterium. RNAcentral's name for it is "SSU rRNA". It matches the Rfam family "Bacterial small subunit ribosomal RNA", at positions 26 to 518 of the family's 1533-position model. The record is from RNAcentral.
AGAAUGAACGCUGGCGGCAUGCCUAACACAUGCAAGUCGAACGAGACCUUCGGGUCUAGUGGCGCACAGGUGCGUAACGCGUGGGAAUCUACCCCUUGGUUCGGAAUAACAGUUGGAAACGACUGCUAAUACCGGAUGAUGACGUAAGUCCAAAGAUUUAUCGCCGAGGGAUGAGCCCGCGUAGGAUUAGGUAGUUGGUGUGGUAAAGGCGCACCAAGCCGACGAUCCUUAGCUGGUCUGAGAGGAUGAUCAGCCACACUGGGACUGAGACACGGCCCAGACUCCUACGGGAGGCAGCAGUGGGGAAUAUUGGACAAUGGGCGAAAGCCUGAUCCAGCAAUGCCGCGUGAGUGAUGAAGGCCUUAGGUUGUAAAGCUCUUUUACCCGGGAUGAUAAUGACAGUACCGGGAGAAUAAGCUCCGGCUAACUCCGUGCCAGCAGCCGC